GGCCUGUUCAGAAUGCACUCAGGUUAACCCAAGUACAUGAUUUGCAUAUCUCUGUGUUCUGGAAAUCCCCUUCUCUUGACCAAAACUUCCUCCCUAGGCUCAGAAGGCGUCAUCAUUUUGUUUCACUGCUUUCUUUCAGACCAGAGCAACCAAACAGAGCAAACUGAAGGGGUAAACAAAACCCACUCCUGAUGUGAACUGGCAGGCAGUGCAAACAGCUUUCUUCUUGACUUUGUGGGUUCAGCCCCUUUUGAGUUACCUAACAUCCAUCCUGUUGUGCAGAAUGCAGCUUUUCUUUCCAAAAUCAAACUGAUUACGAAGGAUGUUAAUGUUUCAUUCCAUGGUGGUGGUGAGAGCAUUAUGGCAAAUUUGUGCCACCUUUCAAGUUGUGAAUUUCUCCCUAUAUGUAAUAAAAAUGUAAGAAUGUCAUCACGCAAGCCCCAUUGGAGGAUUUCUAGUGCCACAUCACAGUCCUGGAGUUGCAUGAAGUCAGCGCAGGAUUGGGGAGCAAAUGCGAACGCAGGUUAUACUAAAGCAGUGGCCAUGGCAUGAGAUUGAGAAGGGAGAAACACUGAGAGGCAGAAGGUGGUGGUUAUAAAAGUUUGAGUAAAGUAGGAAUGGACAAAACUCAGAAGAAAAUGGCAAUUGUAAGCAAAGACAUAGGUUUGAAAUAAAGUACUUUGGAAUACAUCAGGGAUCUGUAUCCUUCACAUGAGGCAACUGAGGAUGAAAACCUAUAUUUGUAAUGAACUGCACAAUUUUGAAGAGAGUAAAAUUUUCCUCUUACAAUCAUAUUUUUUAAUCUUAUAUUUUGCGUUUUAUUUAAUUCAUCAUUACAUUUAUAUCCUGCCUUUUCCUUCAAGAAACCCAAGGGGGCAGAUAUGAGUCUCCCUGUCUCCAUUUUAUCCUUACAACAACGAUCCUGUGGUGCAGGUUAGGCUAAGAGACAAUGAGCAGCCCUAGGUCACCCAGAAAGCAUUGUGCCAUUUUAUGUUUCAGCAGUAUGCACCACCUUGAUAUUUUAUGAUGCAGCCAUGUAGAUAUAGAUUAGAUAUAGAUAUAGGUAAGCGGAAUGUGGCGUCGUCUUGACAUCCAUUCACCUGAAGUCCACACAUUGCCCUGUUCUUCCUGCCUGCUCCUUUUACCUCAGAGCUGUUAGGCACAACACUGUCUGGCCCUGAGAAACAGGAGCCAAUGAAAAGGUCAAACAACGUAGCUUUCCCCCACUGCUUUCAGAGACAGAGCUAGACACAUGCCUCAGUGCUUCCUUCUAACCUACCAGGAACAGGUCUCGGUUAAUUCUGACAGACCAGACAACUGAGAGCUCUGUGCUGGUUACAUGCGAGCAUUCACCCAAUCUGGCCUGCUGUGGUGUGUGUGUGUGUGUGUGUGUGUGUGUGUGUGUGUGUGUGUGUCCAACAACUGGUGUUUCCAAUCUGCCUCUGGCACCAUAGAGAAGUUGCAAGGCUGCAUUCAGACUGCACUUUAUUCCACUUUGUUUCCUUAUCCGAUAAUUUUGUGUUUUAUGUGAUCUUUCCCGCAACGUAAAAGCCACUUCUGGGAAUUUAGUGGAAGUUUAGUGCUCAGAACUGCUUCCAGAAAAGAAAAGGAACUGUUUUGCCCUGUAAUUGCCCCAGUUUCCAUGGAUCAUGCCAUGUGAUGAAAUUGGGGGCUGUAUACUGCAGCUGUCAUGAACUGGUUGGACACAGAGGAGUGGUGGGUGGAAGCAGCAGGGGAAUCACAAAAGAAUGUUCAGAGUCGAAGGAGUGGUGAUGGGACAACAAUGAGAGGGGGAAGACUGGGAAGAGGAGGUGUCAGAAUCUGAAGGGGUAACAGGGCUCAGUGAGUUAAGAAAAGUCUAUGACAGAGAGAAGUCCAGAACCAGAGGCAGGAAACCUGAAGCAGAAGAGUGGGAGGGGGGAGACCAAGAGGCAGAGAUGAGCCAGGCUAGUAAAGAUGCAUGGGUGUCUCCACCUCCUGUCGCAACAAAGUCCCCUCCCCCUAAUACCCAGGAGCAGGAGAGGAAUGAAAUGAGUGCAGCAAAGAUGGGCUGCACACAGGCACAGUCUCCAGUUCCUUGUAAGAAGCCCUGGAGAGGAGGAGUCAUGUCCAAGGGCAUCUGCUGCUGUGCCGUUGGGGGUGAAUGAAGUUUAGCAGGACAAGGCAGCAUGUUCAUCAAAAAGCCACAAUUCCAUAAUGCGGAGUAGAAGGAAUGUUAGCAACCAGGACAGAAGUGCUAGCAUUAUAACCAGGAAAGCUAAUGCAAUAAUGCCCAUGUCUAAAUGCACAGUCAGAACUGGAAAAAUUAAGGUGUGGGUAGCCAGUGUAGGCCCUCCAUAUGUUGUAAAUCUACAUCAUCCCUGACCAUGCUGGCUGGGGCUGAAUUUUAGUUCUCAGCAUUUGGGGGGGGGGGGGUACCGCUGAGCUAAAGCAGAGUGGGUGCCACUUCCUUCAUGGUUGUCCCCCUGCCACUCAGGGAUACACCAAAGCUUCUGCAUAUGCUGUUUGUCCUGACAAUAUAUUUACACACCACACAAUGGAUUGGUAAAUGGGUGUUGUGAGUGGUGUCCUGUAAACAUUGCCCUGUAUAGACCAUUGCCCUGGUAAAGGCAUAUGUAAGUAAGGUCGGGCCUAAGGACAUUUUUCUAUAUGACGCUAAAACCACCUUUAGGUCUCCCUUGUGCUAUUUAUGUUCCUGUCUGACCUUUCUUAAUCUAGGAGAGAAAGCUGAAAAAGAAGACAGGAGAAGGCACCUUUUAUCAUAUGUGGUGGAAAUGUAAGGCAGUAAAAGAAUUUUGGGAAAUGAUAUAUAAGAAGUUGAAAUAAAUGUUUAAAAUAACAUUUUCUAAAAAAACCUGAAACUUUCCUUUUGGGAAUUCUAGGUGCCAAAAUCCCAAGAGAGCAGAAAAGGCCACAGUUACUGGCCCAGAGAUGGAAAGAAGAUAAAGUCCCUACCAGAGAAGAAUGACAGAUCAAGUUGAUGGAUUGUGCUGAAAUGGCUAAAAUGACUGGAAGAAUCAGAAAUCAGGAAGACCAAAAUUUUAAUAAGGAAUGGGGGAAAUUUAUAACAUCUUAAAGACCAUCGUAAACAGUUAAAAUCGUUAGUAGGAUUAGAAUACCACUUGUAGUUUAAUGGUGAAUUUUGGAUACAAUGGAGAGAUAAAAGAUUUGGAUUAUUAUGAAAGAUGCGGGAGGAAAUGAUUAAUAACAG
Molecule: non-coding RNA, 3211 nt
Organism: Podarcis lilfordi (Lilford's wall lizard)
Lineage: Eukaryota; Metazoa; Chordata; Lepidosauria; Squamata; Lacertidae
Source: the annotation of a GenBank genome assembly